UACGGGGGGUGCGAGCGUUGUCCGGAAUCACUGGGCGUAAAGGGCGCGUAGGUGGCGGCUUAAAUCUGUGGUGAAAGCCCGGGGCUCAACCCCGGGUCGGCCGUGGAGACUGAGUCGCUCGAGGGCACUAGAGGGGGGCAGAAUUCCGGGUGUAGCGGUGGAAUGCGUAGAGAUCCGGAAGAAGACCGGUGGCGAAGGCGGCCCCCUGGGGUGUUCCUGACACUGAGGCGCGACAGCGUGGGGAGCAAACAGG
Molecule: ribosomal RNA, 253 nt
Filed under: uncultured bacterium
Lineage: Bacteria
Description: partial 16S ribosomal RNA
Rfam family: Bacterial small subunit ribosomal RNA
Source: RNAcentral